GUAGGUGGCAAGCGUUAUCCGGGAAUUAUUGGGGCGUAAAGCGCGCGCAGGCGGUUUCUUAAGGUCUGAUGUGAAAGCCCACGGGCUCAACCGUGGAGGGUCAUUGGAAACUGGGGAACUUGAGUGCAGAAGAGAAAAGCGGAAUUCCACGUGUAGCGGUGAAAUGCGUAGAGAUGUGGAGGAACACCAGUGGCGAAGGCGGCGUUUUUGGUCUGUAACUGACGCUGAGGCGCGAAAGCGUGGGGAGCAAACAGGAUUAGAUACCCUGGUAGUCCACGCCGUAAACGAUGAGUGCUAAGUGUUAGAGGGUUUCCGCCCUUUAGUGCUGCAGCUAACGCAUUAAGCACUCCGCCUGGGGAGUACGGUCGCAAAGACUG
RNAcentral lists this ribosomal RNA (377 nucleotides) under uncultured organism. RNAcentral describes it as "partial 16S ribosomal RNA". It matches the Rfam family "Bacterial small subunit ribosomal RNA", at positions 527 to 896 of the family's 1533-position model. The record is from RNAcentral.